RNAcentral lists this long non-coding RNA (2607 nucleotides) under Homo sapiens (human). Its description in RNAcentral is "HSALNT0379502". Lineage: Eukaryota; Metazoa; Chordata; Mammalia; Primates; Hominidae. The record is from RNAcentral.
CCAGAGGGCCCCUCCUGCCCGCCACGUUUCCUUCCUGCUGGGGGGCUUCUGUUCUCCCAGACCGGGUCGGUGCUCUUUUCCCCCGGCGCCCCUCCCCCACCCAGCCCGGGCCUUGCCUGCCGCAGCCACCUUCUUCUCUGAUGCUGUGUCCUGGACUUGGUGACAAUGGCAAAUUGACAAGAAGGCGAGCCUGGGCCUUUCCUGCGGCGACAUCCAGCUUCCCCCGCCCCUCCCUGGGUGGGUGCCCACCACACGCCCAGCCUGCCGCGUGCUUAUCCAGGCCCUCCAGGCCAGGCCUCCGGGUCUUAUGGAAGAAGGCCCCGUGUCUGGGCAGUGCCGUGGCUGUGAGUGAGCAUCCGGGGCCAGUCAGAUGUGCCGUCUCCGGAGGUCACUUCCAUAGUGGCCAUCAACAGCUUGGCCAAACUCGGCCGCAGGAUCUUUUCCUAUCAAUUGCAGGAUGGACUCUUCCCGCAGCCAUGCGACCUGUGGCCCGCGGUCCUGCUCCCUGAGCUGGAGGAGGCUGAACAGAAUGAGCAGGUUGAGGCCUGUGGGAAGGAAGAGCCACAUCUCCUUCAUGUUUAUUACCCCCUCCGCAGGCCAUAGCUAGGAGGCCUUGAAGGUUUUUUUAAGGGGGAAAGGGGGUUUCCAGAACCACAGCCGGCUCAGCAGAAAGUCUCCACCAACAGAAUCUGUGGGCGCACAUUCCUCAACAGCUGAAGAAGGGGCUGGAGGGGCUCAUGGCAUCCCCUCCAGAGGCAGGCCCAGGGCCCUGUGUGCAGUGGGGGGUCCUGCAUCUGCAUUGUUGUUAAGAAAGUGACAUUUGGCUACAUGGAGUGACUCAUGCCUGUAAUCCCAGCACUUUGGGAGGCUGAAGCUGUCAGAUUGCUUGGGCCCAGGAGUUCGAGAUCAGCCUGGGCAACUUGGUGAAACCUCAUUUCUUUUUUUUUGAGACAGGGUCUCACUCUGUAGCCAAGACUGGAGUGCAGUGGCACAAUCUCGGCUCACCGCAACCUCCACUUCCCAGGCUCAAGUGAUUCUCCUGACUCAGCCUCCCGAGUAGCUGGGAUUACAGGUGUGCACCACCACGCCUGACUAAUUUUUGUAUUGUUAGUAGAGACGGGGUUUCACCAUGUUGGCCAGGUUGGUGUUGAACUCCUGACUUCAAAUGAUCCACCUGCCUUGGCCUCCCAAAGUGCUGGGAUUACAGGCCUGAGCCACUGCGCCCGGACUUUUUUUUUUUUUUGAGAUGGAGUUUCGCUCUGUCACCCAGGCUGGAGUGUGGUGGCAUGAUCUCGGCUCACUGCAACCUCCACCUCCCAGGGUCAAGUGAUUCUCCUGGGUCAGCCUCCGGAGUAGCUGGGAUUACAGGGCCUCGAGGGCGAGACUUCGGCUCACAGCUGUAUCCCAGGGCCUAGAACUGUGUCUGACAUAUACCAGUUUUUCUUCCCAGGGUCUCCCCAAGAGCUGCUUCCUUUGACUCCUGCUGUGUGUAGUUCUGCUGACAAUGACCUGGACAGCUCUGCGCCAUGCACAGCGUCUCUUUUCUCCGACUUACCAAAUUUUAGACACUACUGACUCCUCCAUGUGAAAGAUGGGAAUUCAGCUACAUCACAUUACCCUACAAACUUUAUUGUUAAUAUUUCUUCCCGGUCAGCCCCAAACACUGAAUGUAAAUACGGUCCAACAUCAACCUGCAAACGAACACUGACAUGAAAGUGCAGUUGGAAAGGAUCUCGCAAAGGAACAGAAUCUGGUGAUCCUAAUCGUAAUGAACGUGAUCGCCGGGUAUUGAGAGCUUGCAGGUACCAGGGCUCCGGCACUACGUGUUUCACAGGGGCCACUCGGUAGACCUCUUGGUGACCUUGAGGUCAGGUACCACGUUCCCAUUUUACAGAGGAGGAAACUGAGAUAACCUACGACAGCGAAAAGGUAGCAGAGCUGGGACUGGUGCCCAGGCUCGCCGAGUGGAAAAGCCCUCGGCCACCGUGGAGAGCUCGCUUCCUGUGGUCUGAAGCGUCGCCCCUGCACCGGCUUCUGCUGCCAAGGAUGGCUUUUCCUCACUGGUGCCCACCUACGCUCACUUGUGUCAUGUGGUUAAGCCCUUUUGGCAACAUAAGACCUUUCCCAAGAAUGUGCCUCGGUGCAGAGGAAGACGGUGGGGGCAGGCCCCCUCCCCGGGAUGCUCCACCCUCCCUGACCUCACACGGGUGCAACCUGGGCCGUGGCCGAGACCUGCUGUGUGGCAGACAAUGGGAAGCCUGUGUGUCGUCCUGGGUGCCGGAUUUAGACAAUAUUUAGCUUUCCCUUGGUGGAAAAGCCUUUCCCCUCCUGCUUUGGGCAGGAACUGGUUCCUGUUGGGCGGGGCCUGGCUGCUGCCCCACCCCCACCCGGCCGGGCACCUUGACCGGCAGCUCUCCGGGCUGCUCCCUGCCUGUGUCCCUGAGCACUGACUCCAGAGGUUUAAUCAUUAACGGGCACGUUUGGCCUUCGGUCGUGGGCUGGAAUUUGGGACCUGUGCCCGGGAACAAUGAUCUCCGACACAUUAUUUUGUGUAAAAUCACUUUUAGCUGCCAUUAGCUAAUAAAGCUGGAAUAAAGUGAGGUCCAU